GCAUCGGUGGUCUAGUGGUAGAAUACUCGCCUGCCACGCGGGUGACCCGGGUUCAAUUCCCGGUCGAUGCA
Molecule: transfer RNA, 71 nt
Filed under: Gigantopelta aegis
Lineage: Eukaryota; Metazoa; Mollusca; Gastropoda; Neomphalida; Peltospiridae
Description: tRNA-Gly
Rfam family: tRNA
About the family: Transfer RNA (tRNA) molecules are approximately 80 nucleotides in length. Their secondary structure includes four short double-helical elements and three loops (D, anti-codon, and T loops).
Source: RNAcentral